GCAUAUGCAAAAUUAUUAUCGUUAAUUUCAUACAGCUCCCUGUAAACAUAUUGAAUAUAAAAUAAAUCUCUACAAAGUUUAACUUUUCAUAUUUACUACUACGAAAGUCUAGUGAUAUUCAUAUUUGUCCGUCUGAUUUGUUACCACUAGAGUACUGCUUAUUUUUUACCAGAAGAUAAAUAAAUGAUAUUUUUGCCAUUACAAUCAUGUCUCUACAAAAAUUCCAACUAUUAGAAUUGUGCAGAAAUUUCCUCCCAAAAAAUUUCAACGGUCAUCUUUUUUCUUUCUUCCAUCACAAAUAAUGUAAGAUGAGUAAAAUGGCCAAUUUAUUUUAUUUACUAAUCAUGGUUAAAUAUUUUACCUAUGGUUAACUAAGUAUAUUUUUUUACCGAAUUCUAACAGUAUGAAUAUAUUUAAAAACGUUAGAACUUUUGUAGGAAUACAUAUAAAAAGUUAAACUUCGUAAAAUUUA
RNAcentral lists this long non-coding RNA (472 nucleotides) under Ananas comosus (pineapple). Its description in RNAcentral is "long non-coding RNA (ACOM_LNC002362)". The record is from RNAcentral. Lineage: Eukaryota; Viridiplantae; Streptophyta; Magnoliopsida; Poales; Bromeliaceae.